RNAcentral lists this long non-coding RNA (206 nucleotides) under Solanum tuberosum (potato). RNAcentral describes it as "long non-coding RNA (STUB_LNC005303)". The record is from RNAcentral. Lineage: Eukaryota; Viridiplantae; Streptophyta; Magnoliopsida; Solanales; Solanaceae.
AAACUAGUUCUUUUACCAGGUAUGUUCAGAGCUUUUUAUAUGAUUUUCCAGUCAUUUACUGGCGGAAAGACAGCUGGUCUAUUCUGUUUAAUUCAUAGCAGGAGAGAGAAGGCUGUUUAUCAAUAAAACCCAAAUCAGGAUAGAAGGCAAAACUGAAAAAACAAAAGAGAAAAUAAGCAAAAACAAAGAAGAAAGGAAAUGAGAAG